GACGAACGCUGGCGGCGUGCUUAACACAUGCAAGUCGAGCGGUAAGGCUCCUUCGGGGGUACACGAGCGGCGAACGGGUGAGUAACACGUGGGUGACCUGCCCUCAGCUCUGGGAUAAGCCUGGGAAACUGGGUCUAAUACCGGAUAUGACCUUCCAUCGCAUGGUGGGGGGUGGAAAGUUUUUCGGCUGGGGAUGGGCCCGCGGCCUAUCAGCUUGUUGGUGGGGUGAUGGCCUACCAAGGCGACGACGGGUAGCCGGCCUGAGAGGGCGACCGGCCACACUGGGACUGAGACACGGCCCAGACUCCUACGGGAGGCAGCAGUGGGGAAUAUUGCGCAAUGGGCGGAAGCCUGACGCAGCGACGCCGCGUGGGGGAUGACGGCCUUCGGGUUGUAAACCUCUUUCAGCACAGACGAAGCGAAAGUGACGGUACGUGCAGAAGAAGCACCGGCCAACUACGUGCCAGCAGCCGCCGUAACAC
This 482-nucleotide ribosomal RNA is filed under the name uncultured bacterium. RNAcentral describes it as "bacterial SSU rRNA". It matches the Rfam family "Bacterial small subunit ribosomal RNA", at positions 28 to 526 of the family's 1533-position model. The record is from RNAcentral.